AAGAGGCUGUGUGGCUCACUGUGC
RNAcentral lists this non-coding RNA (24 nucleotides) under Gossypium hirsutum (cotton). The record is from RNAcentral. Lineage: Eukaryota; Viridiplantae; Streptophyta; Magnoliopsida; Malvales; Malvaceae.